GACGAACGCUGGCGGCGUGCCUAAUACAUGCAAGUAGAACGCUGAAGGAGGAUCUUGCCUCUCUGGAUGAGUUGCGAAAGGGUGAGUAACGCGUAUGUAUCCCGCCUGGUAGCGGGUGAUAUCUAUUGGAAACGCUAGCUCAUAUCGCAUAAUAGUAGUUGUUGCAUGACAUUUACUUAAAAAAUGCAAUUGCAUCACUACCAGAUGGACCUGCGUUGUAUUAGUUAGUUGGUGGGGUAACGGCUCACCAACGCGACGAUACAUAGCAGACCUGAGAGGGUGGUCAGCCACACUGGGAGUGAGACACGGCCCAGACUCCUACGGGAAGCAGCAGUAGGGAAUCUUCGGGAAUGGACGAAAGGCUGACCGAGAAACGCCGCGUGAGGGAAGAAGGUUUUCGGGUCGUAAAGCUCUGUUGUCAGGGAAGAAAGAUUGUGAGAGUGGAAAGUUCACACUGUGACGGUAUCUUAACAGAAAGCGACGGCUAACUACGUG
RNAcentral lists this ribosomal RNA (495 nucleotides) under uncultured bacterium. Its description in RNAcentral is "partial 16S ribosomal RNA". It matches the Rfam family "Bacterial small subunit ribosomal RNA", at positions 28 to 507 of the family's 1533-position model. The record is from RNAcentral.